Molecule: ribosomal RNA, 815 nt
Filed under: uncultured bacterium
Lineage: Bacteria
Description: bacterial SSU rRNA
Rfam family: Bacterial small subunit ribosomal RNA
Source: RNAcentral
AGAGUUUGAUCAUGGCUCAGAACGAACGCUGGCGGCGUGGAUAAGACAUGCAAGUCGAGCGCUGAUUGCAAGGUAGCAAUAUUUUGCAGUUGGAGCGGCGCAAGGGUGCGUAACACGUGGGUAAUCUGCCAUGAAGUCUGGAAUAACUUGCUGAAAGGCGAGCUAAUACCGGAUGUGACAAUCUCGGGGCAUCUCGAGGUUUUCAAAGCUGGGGACCGUAAGGCCUGGCGCUUCAUGAUGAGCCCGCGGCCUAUCAGCUAGUUGGUGAGGUAACGGCUCACCAAGGCUAAGACGGGUAGCUGGUCUGAGAGGACGACCAGCCACACUGGAACUGAGACACGGUCCAGACACCUACGGGUGGCAGCAGUCGAGAAUUUUUCACAAUGGGCGCAAGCCUGAUGGAGCGACGCCGCGUGGGGGAUGAAUGGCUUCGGCCCGUAAACCCCUGUCAUUUGCGAACAAAUUGGUUCAAUUAACACCUGAACCAUUGAUAGUAGCGAAAGAGAAAGGGACGGCUAACUCUGUGCCAGCAGCCGCGGUAAUACAGAGGUCCCAAGCGUUGUUCGGAUUCACUGGGCGUAAAGGGUGCGUAGGUGGUGAGGUAAGUCGGAUGUGAAAUCUCGGAGCUCAACUCCGAAACUGCAUUGGAAACUACCUUGCUCGAGGAAUGGAGGGGGGACUGGAAUACUUGGUGUAGCAGUGAAAUGCGUAGAUAUCAAGUGGAACACCAGUGGCGAAGGCGAGUCCCUGGACAUCUCCUGACACUGAGGCACGAAAGCUAGGGGAGCAAACAGGAUUAGAUACCCUAGUAGUCC